This 434-nucleotide ribosomal RNA is filed under the name uncultured Dysgonomonas sp. RNAcentral describes it as "bacterial SSU rRNA". It matches the Rfam family "Bacterial small subunit ribosomal RNA", at positions 958 to 1392 of the family's 1533-position model. The record is from RNAcentral. Lineage: Bacteria; Pseudomonadati; Bacteroidota; Bacteroidia; Bacteroidales; Dysgonomonadaceae.
AACGCGAAGAACCUUACCCGGGCUUGAAAUGUAGAGGAAUAGAUUAGAAAUAUUCUAGCCAGCAAUGGUCUCUAUGUAGGUGCUGCAUGGUUGUCGUCAGCUCGUGCCGUGAGGUGUCGGCUUAAGUGCCAUAACGAGCGCAACCCCUAUCGUUAGUUACUAACAGGUUAAGCUGAGGACUCUAGCGAGACUGCCCGCGCAAGCGGCGAGGAAGGCGGGGAUGACGUCAAAUCAGCACGGCCCUUACGUCCGGGGCGACACACGUGUUACAAUGGAUGGUACAAAGGGUUGCUACUUGGCGACAAGAUGCUAAUCCCUAAAACCAUUCCCAGUUCGGAUCGGAGUCUGCAACUCGACUCCGUGAAGCUGGAUUCGCUAGUAAUCGCGCAUCAGCCAUGGCGCGGUGAAUACGUUCCCGGGUCUUGUACACACCG